Molecule: ribosomal RNA, 460 nt
Filed under: uncultured bacterium
Lineage: Bacteria
Description: partial 16S ribosomal RNA
Rfam family: Bacterial small subunit ribosomal RNA
Source: RNAcentral
CCUACGGGAGGCAGCAGUGAGGAAUAUUGGUCAAUGGGCGCGAGCCUGAACCAGCCAAGUAGCGUGAAGGAUGACUGCCCUACGGGUUGUAAGCUUCUUUUAUAAAGGAAUAAAGUGAGGCACGUGUGUCUGUUUGUAUGUACUUUAUGAAUAAGGAUCGGCCAACUCAGUGCCAGCAGCAGGGGUAAUACGGAGGAUCCGAGCGUUAACCGGAUGUAUUGGGUUUAAAGGGAGCGUAGAUGGGUUGUUAGGUCAGUUGUGAAAGUUUGCGGCUCAACCGUAAAAUUGCAUUUGAUACUGGCAGUCUUGAGUACAGUUGAGGUAGGCGGAAUUCGUGGUGUAGCGGCGAAAUGCUUAGAUAUUACGAAGAACACCGAUUGCGAAGGCAGCUUACUAGACUGCCACUGACAUUGAUGCUCGAAAGUGUGGGGAGCAAACAGGAUUAGAUACCCUAGUAGUC